Molecule: long non-coding RNA, 249 nt
Filed under: Lathyrus oleraceus (garden pea)
Lineage: Eukaryota; Viridiplantae; Streptophyta; Magnoliopsida; Fabales; Fabaceae
Description: Pisum sativum (pea) long non-coding RNA (PSAT_LNC004687)
Source: RNAcentral
AUUGGUGAGUGAGGGGGAGUGGAAAGAGAGAGGGACACGUGAGUGUGAGAGAGUAUUUUCUUUUUUAUUUUCUUUUUCCUUAAUGAUCUGUGCCAGAGAGGAGAGUAGUAGUGGAGAGUUUGUUAUUGGAACUCUCAAAAAUUUCUUUUUGGAGUGGAAAUGUGUGUGUCGUUAUUGAGUGGGUAGAGAGAGGAUCUCAUUUUUUUGUUUUUUUGUCUUUUCCUUUCCCGCUAGCUGUCAACAACUUUC